Molecule: transfer RNA, 64 nt
Filed under: Ascarosepion mestus
Lineage: Eukaryota; Metazoa; Mollusca; Cephalopoda; Sepiida; Sepiidae
Description: tRNA-Phe
Rfam family: tRNA
About the family: Transfer RNA (tRNA) molecules are approximately 80 nucleotides in length. Their secondary structure includes four short double-helical elements and three loops (D, anti-codon, and T loops).
Source: RNAcentral
AUUUAAAUAGCUUAAGAAAAGCAUAACAUUGAAGAUGUUAAAAUGGUUUAUAAACCUUUAAAUA